UAAGAUACUAAGGGCAAUUGGCGGAUGCCUUGGUGCCAGGAGGCGAUGAAGGACGUGGAAGGCUGCGAUAAGCCUCGGUGAGCCGUCUAACAGGCUUUGACCCGGGGAUUUCCGAAUGGGGCAACCCGGCUGGAGUCAUGUCCAGUCAUCCGGAUUUAUCCGGAGGCGAACUCGGGGAAGUGAAACAUCUCAGUACCCGAAGGAGAAGAAAUCAAGAGAGAUUCCCAAAGUAGUGGCGAGCGAAAUGGGAAGAGCCCAAACCGUGCGGUUUCGACCGUGCGGGGUUGUAGGGCCUUCAUCAAGCGAUCUGUGAUUAGGUAGCGGAAACAUUUGGGAAGAUGUUCCAUAGAGGGUGACAGACCCGUACGCGAAACCGAACAGCAGCGCUGAAGGUACCUGAGUACCGCGGGACACGAGAAAUCCCGUGGGAAUCUGGGAGGACCAUCUCCCAAGGCUAAAUACUCCCUGGCGACCGAUAGCGAACUAGUACCGUGAGGGAAAGGUGAAAAGAACCCCUGUUAGGGGAGUGAAACGAGAACCUGAAACCAAUUGCCUACAAGCGGUUCGAGUCCGGCAUUUAUGCUGGAUGAGAGCGUGCCUUUUGCAUAAUGAGCCAGCGAGUUUAUUUGUACUGCAAGGUUAAGCCUUUCUGAGGCGGAGCCGCAGCGAAAGCGAGUCUGAAUAGGGCGCUUGAGUAGUGCGGAUAAGACCCGAAACCGAGUGAUCUAUCCAUGGGCAGAGUGAAGCUUGGGUAAAACCAAGUGGAGGCUCGAACCAGUUAGGGCUGAAAACCUUUUGGAUGACCUGUGGAUAGGGGUGAAAGACCAAUCAAACUCGGUGAUAGCUGGUUCUCCCCGAAAUAUAUUGAGGUAUAGCCUCAGGUAAUUCGCACACGGAGGUAGAGCACUGAAAGGGCUAGGGGCCCCACCAGGUUACCAAACCCUAUCAAACUCCGAAUGCCGUGUGUUUUAUCCUGGGAGUCAGACUGUGGGUGAGAAGGUCCAUAGUCAAGAGGGAAACAGCCCAGACCGUCGGCUAAGGUCUCCAAAUUUGUGCUCAGUGGGAAAGGAAGUGGAGUCGUUCUGACAGCCAGGAGGUUGGCUUAGAAGCAGCCAUCCUUUAAAGAAAGCGUAAUAGCUCACUGGUCUAGUGAUUCUGCGCCGAAAAUGUAACGAGGCUAAGCACAAUACCGAAGCCACGGGUGUGCGUUUUAACGUACGCGGUAGGGGAGCGUUCCCUGCGGGAUGAAGGUAAACCGGGAGGUUUGCUGGACUUCAGGGAAGUGAUCAUGCUGGCAUGAGUAACGAUAAAAGAAGUGAGAAACUUCUUCGCCGUAAGCCCAAGGUUUCCUGGGUAAAGAUAAUCUUCCCAGGGUGAGUCGGCCCCUAAGGCGAGGCUGAAAAGCGUAGCUGAUGGGAAACAGGUUAAUAUUCCUGUACCUGUGGGACAUCGUUUGAGUGAAGGGGGGACGCAGAAGGGUAGGUCAUCCGGGUGUUGGAUGUCCCGGUUCAAGCCUGUAGGCUUGCUUCGUAGGCAAAUCCGCGAAGCUUCAAGGCCGAGAGGUGACGACGUGUCGCAAGACUGAAGUGACUAAUCCCAUGCUGCCGAGAAAAGCCUCUAAACGAGAUGUUUCGCAGACCGUACCGCAAACCAACGCAGGUGGGCGGGGAGAGUAUCCCAAGGCGCUUGAGAAAACUCUGGUCAAGGAACUCGGCAAAAUUACCCCGUAACUUCGGGAGAAGGGGUGCUCCUUCUUGUGAUGGGACUUGCUCCCUGAGCAUCAAGGAGUCGCAGAGAAAUGGCGGGGGCGACUGUUUACUAAAAACACAGGUCUGUGCAAAGUCGUAAGACGCAGUAUACAGACUGACGCCUGCCCGG
RNAcentral lists this ribosomal RNA (1878 nucleotides) under Desulfonatronum thiosulfatophilum. Its description in RNAcentral is "bacterial LSU rRNA". It matches the Rfam family "Bacterial large subunit ribosomal RNA", at positions 1 to 1866 of the family's 2925-position model. Lineage: Bacteria; Pseudomonadati; Thermodesulfobacteriota; Desulfovibrionia; Desulfovibrionales; Desulfonatronaceae. The record is from RNAcentral.